AUUUCCCAGUUGAAAACUACUUUAUUCGUCUCGAACCUGAGGAAGUUGUUUGCUUGGCAAUUCUGGGGACUCCUCAAUCUGCUCUUUCCAUAAUUGGAAACUAUCAGCAGCAGAAUUUCCACAUCUUAUAUGAUACAAAGAAUUCUAGGCUGGGAUAUGCACCAAUGAACUGUGCAGAUGUAUAACAUUUUUCUACGAAUGAAAUGGUAGCUAGGGGGAGAAGCAGCACUCAGUCAUUGGUGUUUCUUGGGGGGCAAUUUUUGGUUUUCCUUUCAAAACAGGCCUAGCAAUAGCAUACAGAAAGUUAGAUUCAUUAUUAUUUUUUUUCUUUCUUUUUUCACAUAAUUAUACCAUAGACAUG
Molecule: unclassified non-coding RNA, 361 nt
Filed under: Hevea brasiliensis (rubber tree)
Lineage: Eukaryota; Viridiplantae; Streptophyta; Magnoliopsida; Malpighiales; Euphorbiaceae
Source: RNAcentral